Molecule: ribosomal RNA, 254 nt
Filed under: uncultured bacterium
Lineage: Bacteria
Description: partial 16S ribosomal RNA
Rfam family: Bacterial small subunit ribosomal RNA
Source: RNAcentral
UACGUAGGGUGCGAGCGUUGUCCGGAAUUAUUGGGCGUAAAGAGCUCGUAGGCGGUGUGUCGCGUCGGUCGUGAAAACUUGGGGCUUAACCCUGAGCUUGCGGUCGAUACGGGCAUCACUGGAGUUCGGCAGGGGAGACUGGAAUUCCUGGUGUAGCGGUGAAAUGCGCAGAUAUCAGGAGGAACACCGGUGGCGAAGGCGGGUCUCUGGGACGAUACUGACGCUGAGGAGCGAAAGCGUGGGGAGCGAACAGG